This is an RNA transcript of Lotus japonicus, 2449 nucleotides long. RefSeq lists it as uncharacterized. Lineage: Eukaryota; Viridiplantae; Streptophyta; Magnoliopsida; Fabales; Fabaceae. The transcript has 15 exons. The record is from RefSeq and is a predicted model, not a curated record.
GGGAGAUGUAUGAUCUCCUUUAUUAUGUACCUGCCAAGUAUUCUAUUAUUUACGCGGCAUUCCGAAUUCUCAGCUUCCUCCAUCAAACCAAAACUCAUUUCUUCAUUUCUUCAAUCAAUCAAUCAAUUUCCUUCCAAAUUUUCCUAUCAAAUUCUUCUCUUUCAAACACCAUCAUCACCAACACAAGAUUUGAAGAUGGAGUGAUAAUGCUCGUCAUUGUUAACCAUUGAGAUUGUGCUGAGGAGGGAAAUAAUAGCAAAAAAAAUAUGGAUUCUGCGAGGAGUUGGUUCCAGAAGUUUCAGCCGCGUGAUAAGCUGAGAGGUGGUUCUACAAGGAAGAAGGAUGAUUUCAACAAUGGCGGCGACGAACCGAGUGGGCCGGUGGAUGAAGCCGCUCUUUCCAAUAUCACCAAGCAGAAGGUGGCUGCAGCCAAGCAGUAUAUAGAGAAUCACUACAAGGAGCAAAUGAAGAGCCUUCAGGAGAGGAGGGAACGCCGAACCAUCUUGGAAAAGAAGUUGGCUGAUGCUGAUGUCUCUGAGGAAGAUCAAAAUAACUUGCUUAAAUUUUUAGAGAAAAAGGAAACCGAGUAUAUGCGUCUUCAGAGGCAUAAAAUGGGUGUUGAUGAUUUCGAGUUAUUGACUAUGAUCGGAAAAGGUGCAUUUGGGGAGGUCCGGGUCUGCAGGGAAAAGGCCACAGAUCAUGUAUUUGCAAUGAAGAAGUUAAAGAAAUCAGAGAUGCUUCGUAGAGGCCAGGUAGAACAUGUCAGAGCGGAGAGGAAUCUCCUUGCAGAGGUUGACAGCAAUUGCAUAGUCAAACUUUAUUGUUCUUUCCAGGAUGAUGAGUAUUUGUAUCUUAUUAUGGAGUACCUACCUGGUGGGGACAUGAUGACUCUACUUAUGAGAAAGGAUACCUUGACUGAAGAUGAAGCCCGAUUUUAUGUAGGAGAAACAGUUUUGGCUAUUGAAUCUAUACAUAAACACAAUUAUAUACAUAGGGAUAUUAAGCCUGAUAACUUACUACUUGAUAGAUAUGGACACUUGAGACUGUCAGAUUUUGGACUAUGUAAACCAUUAGACUGUAGUACACUUGAAGAAACUGAUUUUUCUCAGAAUGCCAAUGGAUCUACACAGAAUGAUGAUCGUACUGGUCCAAAACGCACCCAACAAGAACAGUUGCAACACUGGCAGAAGAACAGGAGGACACUUGCUUAUUCUACUGUUGGUACACCAGAUUAUAUUGCUCCAGAAGUUCUAUUGAAGAAAGGUUAUGGGAUGGAAUGUGAUUGGUGGUCACUUGGAGCUAUCAUGUAUGAAAUGCUGGUGGGAUAUCCGCCUUUUUAUUCUGAUGAUCCAAUGUCAACAUGUAGGAAGAUAGUAAAUUGGAAAUCACACUUAAAGUUUCCUGAAGAAGUAAAGUUAUCUCCGGAGGCCAAAGAUCUUAUAGUUAAGCUUUUGUGUAAUGUCAACCAGAGGUUGGGGUCAAAUGGUGCAUAUGAAAUAAAGGCUCAUCCAUUCUUUGAAGGUGUUGAAUGGGAUAAAUUGUAUCACAUGGAUGCUGCAUUUAUUCCUGAGGUCAAUGAUGAUUUAGAUACUCAAAACUUUGAAAAGUUUGAAGAGUCCGACAGCCAGACUCAAUCAUCAUCAAGAGCUGGUCCAUGGAGAAAGAUGCUUUCAUCUAAGGACUUGAACUUUGUGGGAUACACAUACAAGAACUUUGAAAUUGUUAACGACUACCAAGUUCCUGGAAUGGCUGAAUUGAAGAAAGCCUCCAAAUCUAAGAAGAAGCCAUCCAUCAAGUCACUGUUUGAUUGUGAGUCAGAGAUGUCUGAGGCGUCCGAGGCUUCAGAGGCAUCUGCAAGAAAUCAAACUACUCCAUGAAGUUUUACAAAGCCCUUGACACCCAAACUAGAGCUAUCUCAAAGCUAGAGGGAAUCCUUCCUCCUAAACUAGGCACUCUGAUGAUCUACCUGAUCAGACAGAAGAAAAUGCAGUGUUUCGAGCUGGCUUAGACGAGUCUUGCAAGUUUUGUUAGUCACCGCAACUAUAGAAUCGCAAAUCUUUGUUUCUCGUUGUGAAAUAUGCAGACACUAUGAACAGAUAAACAAACAGAAACCUUGUAUAUUUGUUUUGUUCCUUUACAUAAACGAUAGCAAAGUGGAUGGCACUGGAGAAGUGGAAGUUGGUUUUGUCUCUAAUGGAGGAUCAUGGAUUGUUACUUUUGUGGAACUUGAACAGUGUAAAUUAAAAUUUAAUGUUAAUAAUCUGUAAUUCGUUAGUGUUAAAUUGAAUACCUUUUACCCUCACUGAGAUUAUCAUAUUUAAAUUGGCAUGGUAUUAAAUUUUCAUAGCAACCAUUGGUCACUGUCACUGUUACUCAUAAGAAAGAUAACCUUGUACAUUGAGUGAGAGUUGAUCCCACAUUCAAAGGGAGCAAUGGCAUUAAAAAAGAA